UAGGGAAUCUUCGGCAAUGGGGGGAACCCUGACCGAGCAACGCCGCGUGAGUGAAGAAGGUUUUCGGAUCGUAAAGCUCUGUUGUUAAGGAAGAACGAGUGUGAGAAUGGAAAGUUCAUACUGUGACGGUACUUAACCAGAAAGGGACGGCUAACUACGUGCCAGCAGCCGCGGUAAUACGUAGGUCCCGAGCGUUGUCCGGAUUUAUUGGGCGUAAAGCGAGCGCAGGCGGUUAGAUAAGUCUGAAGUUAAAGGCAGUGGCUCAACCAUUGUAGGCUUUGGAAACUGUUGAACUUGAGGGCAGAAGGGGAGAGUGGAAUUCCAUGUGUAGCGGUGAAAUGCGUAGAUAUAUGGAGGAACACCGGUGGCGAAAGCGGCUCUCUGGUAUGUAACUGACGCUGAGGCUCGAAAGCGUGGGGAGCGAACAGG
Molecule: ribosomal RNA, 429 nt
Filed under: Bacteroidota bacterium
Lineage: Bacteria; Pseudomonadati; Bacteroidota
Description: Bacteroidetes bacterium partial 16S ribosomal RNA
Rfam family: Bacterial small subunit ribosomal RNA
Source: RNAcentral